Molecule: long non-coding RNA, 707 nt
Filed under: Mus musculus (house mouse)
Lineage: Eukaryota; Metazoa; Chordata; Mammalia; Rodentia; Muridae
Description: predicted gene, 41293
Source: RNAcentral
CGCGGCUCCUCCGGGUAGUGACUGUCGCCGGUGCUGGCCGUCGCUGUCUCUCGCAGGCCUCCCUGCUGCUCAGCUCGGGGCCCCGGUGUCCGGCCCCGCCGCGACCGCCUGCCACCCUCGCUCCGGCGGACCAUCAGCUUCUUCUGAAUGUUGCCCAUGGCCGCUGUAGAGAAGGGCGCACCGGGAGGUGAGUACAUACAUCCCUGUCCCGCGAUCCAGCCUGGCCAGUGCGGGCGGCGCCACCCUGCGGGCGGAGUCCCAGCUCCCCGCCACCCCGAGUGGGCGUCCUGCUUGGCCUGUCCCAGGAUCUCCAAGGACCCGGUCCAGCGCCCAUCUGCACCAAGCCAGCCGAGAUUAACCCCUUAACUGCUGGAGAGCAAGCGCCUUUCAAAACCAUCUCCUACACCAGACCACACCUGUCCAGACAACAACAGCACUGUAAGAACCUGGAUGUUCACUGUGUGUUUGGUUUAGAGACUGGGCUUAGGGAGCCCACGCUGGCCUUGAAUUUGCUACAUAGACAACAAUGGCCUGGAACUUCUGAGCUCCUUCCUCCGCCUCCCAAAUGCUGGGAUUAGAGACAAAAGUUUCUAUGCCAGGCUCAGAUGCUCACUUUGUCUGACUGCUUUCCAGACUGUAUAAAAGAUAAAGUACCAAAGCCACGGCUGUGUCACAGUGAACAUUUCUAACAGUCCCGCUAGGGAAGA